GAAAUGCGAUAAGUAGUGUGAAUUGCUGAAUUCAGUGAAUCAUCGAAUCUUUGAACGCACAUUGCGCCCUUUGGUAUUCCAAAGGGCAUGCCUGUUCGAGCGUCAUUUGUACCCUCAAGCUUUGCUUGGUGUUGGGCGUCUUGUCUCUAGCUUUGCUGGAGACUCGCCUUAAAGUAAUUGGCAGCCGGCCUACUGGUUUCGGAGCGCAGCACAAGUCGCACUCUCUAUCAGCAAAGGUCUAGCAUCCAUUAAGCCUUUUUUCAACUUUUGACCUCGGAUCAGGUAGGGAUACCCGCUGAACUUAAGC
Molecule: unclassified non-coding RNA, 307 nt
Filed under: plant metagenome
Description: partial contains 5.8S ribosomal RNA, internal transcribed spacer 2, and large subunit ribosomal RNA
Rfam family: 5.8S ribosomal RNA (bases 1-105)
Source: RNAcentral